RNAcentral lists this small nuclear RNA (104 nucleotides) under Neotoma lepida (desert woodrat). The record is from RNAcentral. Lineage: Eukaryota; Metazoa; Chordata; Mammalia; Rodentia; Cricetidae.
GUAAUUGCUUCAGCAGUACNUACACUAAAAUUAUAACGAUACCGAGAUUACCAUGAUCCCUGUGCAAGGAUGACACACAAAUUUGUGAAGCAUCCCAUAUAUUU